GACGAACGCUGGCGGCGUGCCUAAUACAUGCAAGUAGAACGCUGAAGGAGGAGCUUGCUUCUCCGGAUGAGUUGCGAACGGGUGAGUAACGCGUAGGUAACCUGCCUGGUAGCGGGGGAUAACUAUUGGAAACGAUAGCUAAUACCGCAUAACAGUAGAUGUUGCAUGACAUUUGCUUAAAAGGUGCAAUUGCAUCACUACCAGAUGGACCUGCGUUGUAUUAGCUAGUUGGUGAGGUAACGGCUCACCAAGGCGACGAUACAUAGCCGACCUGAGAGGGUGAUCGGCCACACUGGGACUGAGACACGGCCCAGACUCCUACGGGAGGCAGCAGUAGGGAAUCUUCGGCAAUGGACGGAAGUCUGACCGAGAAACGCCGCGUGAGUGAAGAAGGUUUUCGGAUCGUAAAGCUCUGUUGUAAGAGAAGAACGAGUGUGAGAGUGGAAAGUUCACACUGUGACGGUAUCUUACCAGAAAGGGACGGCUAACUACGUG
RNAcentral lists this ribosomal RNA (495 nucleotides) under uncultured bacterium. RNAcentral's name for it is "partial 16S ribosomal RNA". It matches the Rfam family "Bacterial small subunit ribosomal RNA", at positions 28 to 507 of the family's 1533-position model. The record is from RNAcentral.